UUGAAGAGUUUGAUCAUGGCUCAGAUUGAACGCUGGCGGCAGGCCUAACACAUGCAAGUCGAACGGUAGCACAGAGAGCUUGCUCUCGGGUGACGAGUGGCGGACGGGUGAGUAAUGUCUGGGAAACUGCCUGAUGGAGGGGGAUAACUACUGGAAACGGUAGCUAAUACCGCAUAACGUCGCAAGACCAAAGAGGGGGACCUUCGGGCCUCUUGCCAUCAGAUGUGCCCAGAUGGGAUUAGCUAGUAGGUGGGGUAACGGCUCACCUAGGCGACGAUCCCUAGCUGGUCUGAGAGGAUGACCAGCCACACUGGAACUGAGACACGGUCCAGACUCCUACGGGAGGCAGCAGUGGGGAAUAUUGCACAAUGGGCGCAAGCCUGAUGCAGCCAUGCCGCGUGUAUGAAGAAGGCCUUCGGGUUGUAAAGUACUUUCAGCGGGGAGGAAGGUGUUGUGGUUAAUAACCACAGCAAUUGACGUUACCCGCAGAAGAAGCACCGGCUAACUCCGUGCCAGCAGCCGCGGUAAUACGGAGGGUGCAAGCGUUAAUCGGAAUUACUGGGCGUAAAGCGCACGCAGGCGGUCUGUCAAGUCGGAUGUGAAAUCCCCGGGCUCAACCUGGGAACUGCAUUCGAAACUGGCAGGCUAGAGUCUUGUAGAGGGGGUAGAAUUCCAGGUGUAGCGGUGAAAUGCGUAGAGAUCUGGAGGAAUACCGGUGGCGAAGGCGGCCCCCUGGACAAAGACUGACGCUCAGGUGCGAAAGCGUGGGGAGCAAACAGGAUUAGAUACCCUGGUAGUCCACGCCGUAAACGAUGUCGACUUGGAGGUUGUGCCCUUGAGGCGUGGCUUCCGGAGCUAACGCGUUAAGUCGACCGCCUGGGGAGUACGGCCGCAAGGUUAAAACUCAAAUGAAUUGACGGGGGCCCGCACAAGCGGUGGAGCAUGUGGUUUAAUUCGAUGCAACGCGAAGAACCUUACCUACUCUUGACAUCCAGAGAACUUUCCAGAGAUGGAUUGGUGCCUUCGGGAACUCUGAGACAGGUGCUGCAUGGCUGUCGUCAGCUCGUGUUGUGAAAUGUUGGGUUAAGUCCCGCAACGAGCGCAACCCUUAUCCUUUGUUGCCAGCGGUUAGGCCGGGAACUCAAAGGAGACUGCCAGUGAUAAACUGGAGGAAGGUGGGGAUGACGUCAAGUCAUCAUGGCCCUUACGAGUAGGGCUACACACGUGCUACAAUGGCGCAUACAAAGAGAAGCGACCUCGCGAGAGCAAGCGGACCUCAUAAAGUGCGUCGUAGUCCGGAUUGGAGUCUGCAACUCGACUCCAUGAAGUCGGAAUCGCUAGUAAUCGUAGAUCAGAAUGCUACGGUGAAUACGUUCCCGGGCCUUGUACACACCGCCCGUCACACCAUGGGAGUGGGUUGCAAAAGAAGUAGGUAGCUUAACCUUCGGGAGGGCGCUUACCACUUUGUGAUUCAUGACUGGGGUGAAGUCGUAACAAGGUAACCGUAGGGGAACCUGCGGUUGGAUCACCUCCUU
RNAcentral lists this ribosomal RNA (1535 nucleotides) under Enterobacter kobei. Its description in RNAcentral is "bacterial SSU rRNA". It matches the Rfam family "Bacterial small subunit ribosomal RNA". The record is from RNAcentral. Lineage: Bacteria; Pseudomonadati; Pseudomonadota; Gammaproteobacteria; Enterobacterales; Enterobacteriaceae.